GGGCCCUUAGCUCAGUCGGUUAGAGCAGGUGACUCAUAAUCACUUGGUCGAAGGUUCAAGUCCUUCAGGGCCCACCA
RNAcentral lists this transfer RNA (77 nucleotides) under Candidatus Hydrogenedentota bacterium. RNAcentral describes it as "tRNA-Ile". It matches the Rfam family "tRNA". Rfam says of the family: Transfer RNA (tRNA) molecules are approximately 80 nucleotides in length. Lineage: Bacteria; Pseudomonadati; Candidatus Hydrogenedentota. The record is from RNAcentral.